GAGAGAGAUUACAAAGGUAUAACACAAAGAAGAUAUGUAUUAGAAGUAAUCCAAAAAUAGAAACUAAAAAGAGAGAGAUUACAAAGGUAUAACACAAAGAAGAUAUGUAUUAGAAGUAAUCCAAAAAUAGAAACUAAAAAGAGAGAGAUUACAAAGGUAUAACACAAAGAAGAUAUGUAUUAGAAGUAAUCCAAAAAUAGAAACUAAAAAGAGAGAGAUUACAAAGGUAUAACACAAAGAAGAUAUGUAUUAGAAGUAAUCCAAAAAUAGAAAAUAAAAAGAGAGAGAUUACAAAGGUAUAACACAAAGAAGAUAUAUAUUAGAAGUAAUCCAAAAAUAGAAACUAAAAAGAGAGAGAUUAUAAAGGUAUAACACAAAGAAGAUAUGUAUUAGAAGUAAUCCAAAAAUAGAAACUAAAA
This 419-nucleotide long non-coding RNA is filed under the name Lathyrus oleraceus (garden pea). Its description in RNAcentral is "Pisum sativum (pea) long non-coding RNA (PSAT_LNC032430)". Lineage: Eukaryota; Viridiplantae; Streptophyta; Magnoliopsida; Fabales; Fabaceae. The record is from RNAcentral.